CGUGCACGCGGCUCGGUGGAGGGACUGUUGGAGAAGGGGGCGGAGCGAGCUGGGUGGUGAGCGGCACUCUGGGACUCGGAGGACCGAGCGGCUAACCGCCGGAGGCGGGAGUCGGCGUGGGAUGAGAUCACUCAUUCUGGGGAAGAAAGCUCCCAUGUCAUGAAGACAAUCAUGCAGCUUUACAGAGAGAUCCACAUAGUGAGGAGCUGAGGUGUCCUGCAACUUGCAAGCCAUAUGCGAGAAAAGGAUGAUUCCCUAGAGAGGGCUAUGAACAAGAAUACAGAGCUGUGAACAGGAGUACUUGGGAACAGAUAUUGAGGCUCUCCAUGUACAGGAAAGGGAUCUGCAAAGGGAUCAAAGCUU
Acinonyx jubatus (cheetah) is the source of this 363-nucleotide long non-coding RNA. RefSeq lists it as uncharacterized. Lineage: Eukaryota; Metazoa; Chordata; Mammalia; Carnivora; Felidae. The record is from RefSeq and is a predicted model, not a curated record. The transcript is spliced from 4 exons.